GGGGCUGAUCGGUUUCGACAGCGCCUGCGAACCUGCGAGAAGCGGGCCGAGGAUGUGGGGUUAUCUCGUAAACGCUCCCUGCAAAACAAUAAGUGCCGAAACCAAGCGCACUGACUUCGCCCUCGCUGCGUAAGCGAGCCCGAUAGUCCGUCAGACCGUGUGUGACCCCGCCACGGAUCCUGGCGUCAUUUAGGGGUCUUGCUGUGUGACGGCGUCCGGACGUCACGCGGGACUUUUCCCGGACUGGGCCUGUCGACUUAGGUGUCUGUGACAAAGGUCGGGGCCGAGCAGAACGUCUGCACAGACUGCGCCCGGAGAAAACGCGGAGACCCAGCGUUGGACGGGGGUUCGAUUCCCCCCAGCUCCACGA
RNAcentral lists this transfer-messenger RNA (370 nucleotides) under Microbacteriaceae. RNAcentral describes it as "Microbacterium sp001984105 Standard tmRNA". It matches the Rfam family "transfer-messenger RNA". Rfam says of the family: Bacterial tmRNA, also known as 10Sa RNA or SsrA, is named for its dual tRNA and mRNA-like properties. Its role is to liberate the mRNA from a stalled ribosome. RNAcentral also lists the same sequence under 5 other names. Lineage: Bacteria; Bacillati; Actinomycetota; Actinomycetes; Micrococcales. The record is from RNAcentral.